UACGUAGGGUGCAAGCGUUGUCCGGAAUUAUUGGGCGUAAAGAGCUCGUAGGCGGUCUGUCGCGUCGGCUGUGAAAACCCGGAGCUCAACUCCGGGCCUGCAGUCGAUACGGGCAAACUGGAGUGUUGCAGGGGAGACUGGAAUUCCUGGUGUAGCGGUGAAAUGCGCAGAUAUCAGGAGGAACACCGGUGGCGAAGGCGGGUCUCUGGGCUGACACUGACGCUCAUGCACGAAAGCGUGGGGAGCAAACAGG
This 253-nucleotide ribosomal RNA is filed under the name uncultured bacterium. RNAcentral describes it as "partial 16S ribosomal RNA". It matches the Rfam family "Bacterial small subunit ribosomal RNA", at positions 524 to 776 of the family's 1533-position model. The record is from RNAcentral.